RNAcentral lists this ribosomal RNA (439 nucleotides) under uncultured bacterium. RNAcentral's name for it is "bacterial SSU rRNA". It matches the Rfam family "Bacterial small subunit ribosomal RNA", at positions 958 to 1398 of the family's 1533-position model. The record is from RNAcentral.
AACGCGAAGAACCUUACCCAGGCUCGAAAUAUAGGGGACAGCUCCUGAAAGGGAGUCUCUCGUAAGAGUCGCUAUAUAGGUGCUGCAUGGCUGUCGUCAGCUCGUGCCGUGAGGUGUUGGGUUAAGUCCCGCAACGAGCGCAACCCUUAUCACUAGUUGCCAGCAAUUCGGUUGGGAACUCUAGUGAGACUGCCUAGGUUAACUAGGAGGAAGGUGAGGAUGACGUCAAGUCCGCAUGGCCUUUAUGUCUGGGGCUACACACGUGCUACAAUGGCCGGUACAGAAGGCAGCAAGACCGCAAGGUGGAGCAAAUCCGUAAAGCCGGUCUCAGUUCGGAUUGUAGUCUGCAACUCGACUACAUGAAGUUGGAAUUGCUAGUAAUGACGUGUCAGCAACAACGUCGUGAAUACGUUCCCGGGCCUUGUACACACCGCUCGUC